UGGCUCAGUUGGUAGAGUAUGGUGUUUGCAACGCCAGCAUGGUGUGUGCAAUGCCAGGGCUGUGGGUUUGAUUCCCAC
This is a non-coding RNA of Salmo salar (Atlantic salmon), 78 nucleotides long. The record is from Rfam. NCBI's taxonomy places the organism in Eukaryota, Metazoa, Chordata, Actinopteri, Salmoniformes, Salmonidae.